RNAcentral lists this ribosomal RNA (305 nucleotides) under uncultured bacterium. RNAcentral's name for it is "bacterial SSU rRNA". It matches the Rfam family "Bacterial small subunit ribosomal RNA", at positions 338 to 659 of the family's 1533-position model. The record is from RNAcentral.
CCUACGGGAGGCAGCAGUGGGGAAUAUUGCACAAUGGGGGAAACCCUGAUGCAGCAACGCCGCGUGGGUGAAGGAGCGUUUCGGCGCGUAAAGCCCUGUCAGCGGGGAAGAAGAAAGACGGUACCCGACCAAGAAGCCCCGGCUAACUACGUGCCAGCAGCCGCGGUAAUACGUAGGGGGCAAGCGUUAUCCGGAUUUACUGGGUGUAAAGGGGGCGCAGACGGCAAUGCAAGCCAGGAGUGAAAGCCCGGGGCCCAACCCCGGGACUGCUCUUGGAACCGCAUGGCUGGAGUACAGGAGGGGCG